Molecule: transfer RNA, 74 nt
Filed under: Cordylochernes scorpioides
Lineage: Eukaryota; Metazoa; Arthropoda; Arachnida; Pseudoscorpiones; Chernetidae
Description: tRNA-Thr
Source: RNAcentral
UGUCCAGGGCGGGAAUCGAACCCCACACCCUUCUGCUUACCGGGCAGGUGCCUGUCCACUCGGCUACCCUGGAC